ACAGUCCAGCUUCCGUAUAGUUGAUCUUCGGUAUGAAAGCUCAAGUUGCGGGUUGAUCUACGUCCGCUCGCGACUUUAAUUUAAUAAGUUGAUGUAACCUAGCGGUCCUAGAGUCUGCCUAUCUAAAGCUAAAGCAGAUUGGUCUGCCUUGAAAUUCGCUAAAUUCGCUUUAGCUCUUGCGUAAGCAGAUGCGUAAAAACUGUCUUCCUUACGCGGAUGCUUGCAACUCCGACAUAUAAGUUACUACAUGCGGCAUAUUACGCGCCAAAAACGAGCAGAAAAGCCGGCAACGAUUUCAGCCACUAAAAACAGCGAUGUACAGAUAAUCAUUGGGUCCUUGGUUACACGCAGCCGCACCAAUUCCCAUUUACUACCAGCGGCAGGGGUAUUUAUUGUGCGCAUUGGCCGUUCAGUAGUAGUAUACCAUUUCGCCGGCAUCCGCUGUUGCUCGCAGCUCCUCAGGAAUCAACAGCCGCUUUGCUUGGGGAAUCUGGGAUUGACUGGGAUAGAAGCAUUCACACUUCGAAUGCCGACGUCCACCGGCCGACUCAAGUGGCCUGAUGUCAUAAUGUCGUGUGGACGGAGAGUGUUGUGCGAACGAUGGACGACCGGCGCUACUAGCUUAAAAAGAGUGUAAGACCUGUCCUUGCGCAUCACCAAAAGCUGGAGACUGUCCACAUCCAGAAGAGCGACAAAGAGACUGGGAAAGUUUUAAGACGGUUUAUCUUCGCGAUAUUUGACGAAAGACAUUUGAUCGCGGCAGUUCACCGCAAACGAAAUCGAUGCGAUUAUUUUUCACAUGUUUUCUGGUUUUCUUAUGUUUUUUUUGCUUGCUUAUGUUUUCCUGCUUUUAUGUUAAGGUUUUUUAUGUGGUCUUUAAUUUUUGUUGUCUGAUGUUCACUUAAAUGUUAUUAUGCUUCCUCUUUCAUUCAGGUUUCUUAAGUUUUCUUUAAUUUUCUUAGAGUUUUCCUCAAAACGGCCUCGCGAAGAAAUGUCUAGCGGCGUGCUGUCCUGCCGGCGAAAUGCCCCGUGACGAUAUGUCGCGUGGCGAGAUGAAUUGCCGCUAAACGUCUACGAUCAAAUGUCCUUCGACUAAUUGUCCUAGGCGAAAUGUCGCGGUGCCCUUUAUUCAGCUUUACAGGCCUCCGCAAACUUUGAGAAGUACUAUCCAGUGCAUCCGCACAUGUACAGCACAUGUCGGCGAUCCAUGCAAAACACUGUAAUGGUCAUGGCAGACAAACCCUGCGGCACUCAUGCUUCUGGUCAGCACAUGCCA
This is an RNA transcript of Paramacrobiotus metropolitanus, 1276 nucleotides long. RefSeq lists it as uncharacterized. The record is from RefSeq and is a predicted model, not a curated record. The transcript is spliced from 4 exons. Lineage: Eukaryota; Metazoa; Tardigrada; Eutardigrada; Parachela; Macrobiotidae.